AGACGAGGGGUCCUAGCGUUGUUCGGAAUCAUUGGGCGUAAAGCGGGUGUAGGUGGCUAAGUCAGUCAAAUGUGAAAGCCCUGGGCUCAACCCAGGAAGUGCAUCUGAUACUGCUUAACUUGAGUAUGGGAGAGGAGAGUAGAAUUCCUGGUGUAGUGGUGAAAUACGUAGAUAUCAGGAGGAACACCGGUGGCGAAGGCGGCUAUCUGGCCCAAUUCUGACACUCAGACCCGAAAGCGUGGGGAGCAAACAGGAUUAGAAACCCCUGUAGUCC
This 274-nucleotide ribosomal RNA is filed under the name uncultured bacterium. RNAcentral describes it as "partial 16S ribosomal RNA". It matches the Rfam family "Bacterial small subunit ribosomal RNA", at positions 523 to 796 of the family's 1533-position model. The record is from RNAcentral.